RNAcentral lists this ribosomal RNA (1556 nucleotides) under Montfortula rugosa. RNAcentral's name for it is "partial large subunit ribosomal RNA". The stretch from base 904 to 1556 matches the Rfam family "Archaeal large subunit ribosomal RNA", at positions 1423 to 2688 of the family's 2987-position model. Lineage: Eukaryota; Metazoa; Mollusca; Gastropoda; Lepetellida; Fissurellidae. The record is from RNAcentral.
UAAGACAUAGUAUAAAUAAUGUUUUCCGUUUACAUUGGAAGGAUGGCCUGGGUUUCGUGGUCUGUUUUAAUAGGUAACAAUUUGAUUAGUGUUAAUAUUGCUUUAUUUAAAGUAAUGGCUAGGUGGAGUAGCUUGUAGUUAAAUGUAAAAAUGAUGCCAUAUAUUUAUUUUGAUUUUAAGAUUUUUUUGUAAGAAGGGUUUAGUUUGUGUAGUGCUAGCCAGAAUGGUGGUGAGGGAUUUAGUAAGUUGUAUUGAAAGGUUUAUUAUGGUGAUGAGAUGGAAUUAGUACUGAGGGGGAAGCGUGUUAAGAUGGAAAUUUUUUUAUAGUAGAGUUUAAGCUUUGUACCUUUUGUAUCAUGGUCUUUUUAGUGAUUUGUUUGAAAGGGCGGGUCCCGAAAAGAAGAGAGCUAUUUUUUACCUAAAGAGAGAUGGCUGUUGCAAAAGUGUCUUGAGAGUAAAAAAUAGGGGUGAUAGGCCUGUCGAGCUUUUUGAUAGCUGGUUGACUGAGAAAGGCAUGUUGGUGCUACUGUGCCCAGUUAAAGCUUAUUGAGUGAUGGAGGGCUAAUGUUUUUAUCCUGCAGUAAGUGCAUUGAUAGGGCCUAUUUAGUGUAAGCUUGGGUUCGGGGUGUUGUUGUUAGGAUGUGGGGUGCAUUGUGGGCGUGAGGGGUAAGCUCUUGCGUUGGUUGUCAAAAUGGGUUAGAUAUAUUUGUUGGUUUAGUAGGCUUAGAAUUGGUCAUCUUUAUAGAGGUUUUGCAGAAGUAAUUGGCUGUGUUAAUGGUCGAAUGUUUAUAUGUGUUGUUUGAUAGUUGUAUUGGUUUGUUGAAUUUAAUUUUUAAAGUUUAGGAAAUUCUGGAAGAAUGAGUAUUAUAUAAAUUUGUUUUAUGGGUUAAAAAAUGGGCAUGAGGCCUUAUAGGUUUUAUUGGCCUUGAUUAACUGUAGUUAGAUUUAGGUUUUAGUAAUUCAUGAAAAGGAACUCGGCAAAUAUUGGCCCCGCCUGUUUAUUAAAAACAUGGCCCCCUGUAGUGCUUAGAUGGUGGGUCUGGCCUCCCCAGCGACUGUCUGGUUAAACGGCCGCGGAAUAUUAACUGUGCGAAGGUAGCGUAAUAAUUUGCCUAUUAAUUGUGGGCUAGUAUGAAUGGUCUGACGAGGGUUAAGCUGUCUCUUCAUGAUAUAUUUGGAAAUUAUUUUUUAGGUGAAGGUACCUAAAUAUUACUAAGGGACGAUAAGACCCUGUCGAGCUUAAGCGGAAUUUUAGGUGUGACUGAUCAAAUUUGAAAUUGGUUUAAUUAUUGCUAAAAUGAAUUUUUGACUGGGGCGGUCAGGGAGUAGAAAGAACCUUCUGUUUAAUGUAUUUGCUUUUUGGCAUGUGAUCUAGCUUGUUGCGGAGCAUAAGAAAAAGUUACCGCAGGGAUAACAGCGUAAUUUUUUUGGAGAGUUCUUAUUGAGAAAAAAGUUUGCGACCUCGAUGUUGGACUAAGGUGUCCUGAAGGUGCAGAAGCUUUCAAGGGUUAGUCUGUUCGACUAUUAAAACCUUACGUGAUCUGAGUUCAANNCGG